UACGUAGGGUGCGAGCGUUGUCCGGAAUUACUGGGCGUAAAGAGCUCGUAGGUGGUUUGUCGCGUUGUUCGUGAAAACUCACAGCUUAACUGUGGGCGUGCGGGCGAUACGGGCAGACUGGAGUACUGCAGGGGAGACUGGAAUUCCUGGUGUAGCGGUGGAAUGCGCAGAUAUCAGGAGGAACACCAAUAGCGAAGGCAGCUCGCUGGGACGUUACUGACACUGAGGCGCGAAAGCGUGGGGAGUGAACAGG
RNAcentral lists this ribosomal RNA (253 nucleotides) under uncultured bacterium. Its description in RNAcentral is "partial 16S ribosomal RNA". It matches the Rfam family "Bacterial small subunit ribosomal RNA", at positions 524 to 776 of the family's 1533-position model. The record is from RNAcentral.